CUCAGUUCGGAUCGGAGUCUGCAACCCGACUCCGUGAAGCUGGAUUCGCUAGUAAUCGCGCAUCAGCCAUGGCGCGGUGAAUACGUUCCCGGGCCUUGUACACACCGCCCGUCAAGCCAUGGAAGCCGGGGGCGCUUGAAGUGCGUUGCCGCAAGGCGCGCCCUAGAGCGAAACCGGUGACUGGGGCUAAGUCGUAACAAGGUAGC
RNAcentral lists this ribosomal RNA (206 nucleotides) under uncultured bacterium. RNAcentral's name for it is "partial 16S ribosomal RNA". It matches the Rfam family "Bacterial small subunit ribosomal RNA", at positions 1287 to 1500 of the family's 1533-position model. The record is from RNAcentral.